CUAGCUGUAAACGAUGGAUACUAGGCGUUGAGAGUAUCGACCCUCUCAGUGUCGUAGCUAACGCGUUAAGUACCCCGCCUGGGGAGUACGCGCGCAGGCGUGAAACUCAAAGGAAUUGACGGGGGCCCGCACAAGCGGUGGAGUAUGUGGUUUAAUUCGAUGCAACGCGAAGAACCUUACCAGGGCUUGACAUGUCCGGAACCCUGCCCAAAGGCGGGGGUGCCUACGGGAACCGGAACACAGGUGGUGC
Molecule: ribosomal RNA, 250 nt
Filed under: uncultured Chroococcidiopsis sp.
Lineage: Bacteria; Bacillati; Cyanobacteriota; Cyanophyceae; Chroococcidiopsidales; Chroococcidiopsidaceae
Description: partial 16S ribosomal RNA
Rfam family: Bacterial small subunit ribosomal RNA
Source: RNAcentral